AACGAACGCUGGCGGCAGGCCUAACACAUGCAAGUCGAGCGCCCCGCAAGGGGAGCGGCGGACGGGUGAGUAACGCGUGGGAACGUACCCUUUGCUACGGAAUAGCCUCGGGAAACUGGGAGUAAUACCGUAUGUGCCCUUUCGGGGGAAAGAUUUAUCGGCAAAGGAUCGGCCCGCGUUGGAUUAGGUAGUUGGUGGGGUAAUGGCCUACCAAGCCGACGAUCCAUAGCUGGUUUGAGAGGAUCGAUCAGCCACACUGGGACUGAGACACGGCCCAGACUCCUACGGGAGGCAGCAGUGGGGAAUCUUAGACAAUGGCGCAAGCCUGAUCUAGCCAUGCCGCGUGAGCGAUGAAGGCCUUAGGGUUGUAAAGCUCUUUCAGUGGGGAAGAUAAUGACUGUACCCACAGAAGAAGCCCCGGCUAACUCCGUG
This 432-nucleotide ribosomal RNA is filed under the name uncultured bacterium. RNAcentral's name for it is "bacterial SSU rRNA". It matches the Rfam family "Bacterial small subunit ribosomal RNA", at positions 29 to 507 of the family's 1533-position model. The record is from RNAcentral.